Molossus molossus (Pallas's mastiff bat) is the source of this 125-nucleotide small nucleolar RNA. RefSeq annotates it as small nucleolar RNA SNORA33. NCBI's taxonomy places the organism in Eukaryota, Metazoa, Chordata, Mammalia, Chiroptera, Molossidae. The transcript has a single exon. The record is from RefSeq and is a predicted model, not a curated record.
AAGACAUGGAGGUGCAGGUCUGAAUGUGUUUCUGCAGAAAUUAAGAGAAAGCUGGCAAUAGUAACGCCAUGUUACAAGCCUUAAAGACAUUAAAGUCAUUAUGGUUCCUGAAAAUGGCAAUGAAA